Molecule: ribosomal RNA, 580 nt
Filed under: Lichtheimia hongkongensis
Lineage: Eukaryota; Fungi; Mucoromycota; Mucoromycetes; Mucorales; Lichtheimiaceae
Description: eukaryotic LSU rRNA
Rfam family: Eukaryotic large subunit ribosomal RNA
Source: RNAcentral
AAAGUUGGAACCUGGCUGCCCUAGGCAGUCCGGAUUGUAAACUAAAGAGCGUGAUUCCAGGCAAGCCGGUUGAUCAAGUCCUUUGGAAUGAGGCGCCACUGAGGGUGAGAGCCCCGUAAGUCGACUGAGCAUUUGUCUUUUGUGUUUCGCGUUCAAAGAGUCAGGUUGUUUGGGAAUGCAGCCUAAAGCUGGUGGUAAAUCCCACCUAAAGCUAAAUACAGGCGAGAGACCGAUAGCGAACAAGUACCGUGAGGGAAAGAUGAAAAGAACUUUGAAAAGAGAGUUAAACAGUAUGUGAAAUUGCCAAGAGGGAAGCAUUUGGAGUUAGAUUGACUAGGAGUUAAUCAGCUUGGUCUUUGGACUGGGUGUACUUGACUUCUAUUGGUCUGCCAAUAGCAGUUAGUCCUAGUGGAAAAAACCAGAGGGAAGGUAGUCCUUCGGGAUGUUUAUAGACCUUUGGAAAAUACACUGGGAUUGACUGAGGAAUGCAGUAGAUGCCACUAAGGCUUCGUCUAGUGGGUGCUAGGCAAAGGUACUUGGUAUUUUCAGCUUGCUGAUGUGCUAGGUUACUCGAGUCUAG